CAAAGACCAAAGAUAUUGAAUAUGUACUAUGUAAUAAUAAGCGUAUCUGUUCAUCUUCUUGUUAACACAAAUAUGCAAUUGCGUAAUCAUGUAGAUUUUUAGUAUUGGUAUAAUUUAGUACAUAUUGUAAGCUUUUCUCCAGUCUAAUGGUAAACUAUUUUGUUGAGCAACUUCUGUCUCUGUCGGGGUGAAUUCUAUAAUUGAUUUCUUAGAAGAACCAUAGUAUUAGAGAGGGCGAGAGAUUACUUCUCAGGAACUUGGGCUUAUGAUCUCGUAAGUGGAAUUGUUGUAAGCAGAACGAGUUUCGAUUUCUGCAAAGAAGCUUCUUGCUCUGAUAGCACCUUUUGGGUAAAACGCGGGAAGGGUAGAUUUGGAAAGUCCAAUUGUAUUUUCACCUAAACACGCAGACAACACCCCCUCAUUGAUUUCAAAGCAUGCCAGUUCAAGAUUUCUGUUCAGUUUCCCGAAGUAUGUUCUUGAUUGUAAUAGUAUAGACUAUGUUUGGCUAUUAUUCUCCAGAUUCUCAUUGUCGAAUUAAUCGUCAGUUCUCUAAAAGAGUUUAGGUAUCGACUAACUGCUGAAGUAGAUGACCCCAAAUUUAUGUCAGAAUUGCAAUGGUAUUUGAUGCUUGCCAUGUGUACGAGUAUAUAAUCUGAUUUUCGUUUUUCCACUUGCACUAUUUUUCUCAUU
This 690-nucleotide long non-coding RNA is filed under the name Olea europaea subsp. europaea. Lineage: Eukaryota; Viridiplantae; Streptophyta; Magnoliopsida; Lamiales; Oleaceae. The record is from RNAcentral.